This 45-nucleotide non-coding RNA is filed under the name Schistosoma haematobium. The record is from RNAcentral. Lineage: Eukaryota; Metazoa; Platyhelminthes; Trematoda; Strigeidida; Schistosomatidae. RNAcentral also lists the same sequence under 1 other name.
AUUCAGCUGACGAGUCCUAAAUAGGGCGAAACGCACGUCCUGGAU